Molecule: ribosomal RNA, 92 nt
Filed under: Oscillospiraceae bacterium
Lineage: Bacteria; Bacillati; Bacillota; Clostridia; Eubacteriales; Oscillospiraceae
Source: RNAcentral
AUGACGCUGAGGUCCCACCCGUUCCCAUCCCGAACACGGAAGUUAAGCUCAGCGGUGCCGAAAAUACUUGGAGGGAGACUUCCCGGGAAGAU